This 253-nucleotide ribosomal RNA is filed under the name uncultured bacterium. Its description in RNAcentral is "partial 16S ribosomal RNA". It matches the Rfam family "Bacterial small subunit ribosomal RNA", at positions 524 to 776 of the family's 1533-position model. The record is from RNAcentral.
UACGGAGGGAGCUAGCGUUGUUCGGAAAUACUGGGCGUAAAGCGCACGUAGGCGGCGCAGCAAGUCAGUGGUGAAAUCUCCGGGCUUAACCUGGAAACUGCCGUUGAUACUAUCUGUCUUGAAUAUCGUGGAGGUAAGCGGAAUAUGUCAUGUAGCGGUGAAAUGCUUAGAUAUGACAUAGAACACCAAUGGCGAAGGCAGCUUACUGGGGGUGCAUUGACACUGAGGCACGAAAGCGUGGGGAUCAAACAGG